GCUCCCUAGGGAACAGAGGAAACUGAUCAGGGUUGGGGCCACAGACAAGAGGAGGUAACUUACUUUCGAUCAGGGUUUCUCAACCUUGGCACGUUGACAUUUUGGGCUGGAUAAUUCUUUUUUGUGGGGAGUGGUCUUGUGCAUUGUAGGAUGUUUAGCAGCAUCCCUAGCCUCUAACUAAUAUAUUCGGUUUCCUCACCUCCCUCCUCCUCAAUGUAACAACCAAAAAUGUCUCCAGAUGUUGCCCGAUGCCACCUGGGCAGCAAAAUUGCCCCUGGUUGAGGCUCUAGUCUCGUCCAAGGGGUGGAGCAGCAACUCCAGGCUAGACUCAGAACGCACCCAAGCUUAACUCCUGUGUCAAUUUAUACGCUGCAGGGCCUACCCCAAUCAUAUGUUUAGCAUUUGAGGAUCAAGUCAGCUCUAUCUAGGACUGGUGGAUUCAGUGCUACCCAUUGAGGAGAAUUGACAGGUUGGAAGUAGGGGCCUCUGACAGAUACCUGCUGUACACCAUGAGCUAGAUCGAUCAUCUCGCAGAGUCUAAAGGGAAGCUAUUUCAUGAACUAUAUCCCAGCUUCCAUCCAACCUGUGGAUUAUCCCUGAGGCUUUGUGGAUUGCGACUCGGCCGCUUCCCUCUUUGGACUGGCCAUCUCUGCGGUCUCGGGCAUACAUAUUCUUCUCUGAGAAAUUGCAACCCUGGAAGUCGAAGUGGGCCGAGUUCAAGGAGAUGAGCUUUGGAUACAGCAUGUUUUCCACCUGUUUGGGGA
Long non-coding RNA from Sapajus apella (tufted capuchin), 764 nucleotides. RefSeq lists it as uncharacterized. Lineage: Eukaryota; Metazoa; Chordata; Mammalia; Primates; Cebidae. The record is from RefSeq and is a predicted model, not a curated record. The transcript is spliced from 3 exons.